CUCUCUGAGUUAAUUUAGAAAAUUAACAAUCCAUCCUUCUAGUCUGCUCUGUUUCUUUUCCCUUCUGAGAGGUCAAUUGAAGGGUUCUGCCGCAGCAGCAGGGGCGAGGGGCCGGUGGCCCUGCCCAGAGGCAGCCCAGAGAGCCCUGGGAGGAGGCGUGGCUCCAGGUCUGCCUCCCUGCUGUGGGGAGGAAGCGAGCCCCGUAAAGGGCCAACGGAAGAUGAGGGGCAACAAGCCAGAAAACCGGCAUCUGGAACCCCUACCCUUCCAUCCCAGGACCAAAGGGUCUCCUGCUCUCACUCAGCUCCAGGCCCUUUUUCCUGUCACUUGUCUGCUGCAGAGUAAAGAGCAAAUGGAGCGUGAAAAAAAUUCAGCAAAAAUAAUUACAGGUUACGACAAAUCAAUGGGAACUGUGCAAAUAGCCUCAGGCAGGUAGCAGAGUCAGGGCUCCUCAGCUGGGUGGUGGACUCAGGUGAAGCCAGACUUCAAAGUCUAGCCUGAGGGGAAGCAAUUUAAUUUAGACUAAAUGUGGAUAAUCUGAUGAAUCAUUGAUUUGCUCAGUGGAUCAUUUCAUAGCUCAGAAACGGAGGAAGCAGGGAAGAAAUGCGCUGCUCUGGACUUAACUCUGACCAGCCCCAGGGAACACUUGUUGGCAAUCGAGGGACUGGGACCCUUGGAGAAAGUGACUGUCAGGCUGGAGUGGGCACCGCAGGCGAGGGCACGGCAGCACGGCGGGCAUUAGUGCCAAGCCUGAGGAAGGGGCAUUUGAAAGCUCUGCUUGGGGACACAGAGAGGGCAGAGCCAGCUGCAGGCAGAGCCUCGGGAAUGGUGGUGGUGGUGGUGGCACAGGGGGCCGCCCGAGGCUGGCGGAUAAUGGAGGCUCUGAAAGCGGAAACCUGAGUGGCAGUCACAGAUGAUUUUAGAGGGAAGCGCUGCCUCUUCCCCACCACCACACACACUCACACUCUGCUCUCCACGUCUGUCAGGCAUCGAGGCGGUUAAUUCUCCCAGACACACCGCUGAGAGCGCCGGAGCCCUGUGGAGCUGAGACCGGGAUGGUGCUGCCAGGCUCAUUACAGGAUCCCAGAGGGAGUCUAUCAGGACAGGGUCCCCUCUCUCCCUCAGCCUCUGCAGGAGGCUCGUGCCUCUCUGCCUCCACUCCGACCCACCCUGGCAGGCCCACCCCUCGCCCGGCCCCGAGCCCCUGGAUCCCAGCCCCCUUCUGACUCUGUGCCAGGUCUCCGGCCAUGCCCACCCUCCUCGGGCCCCCCUUCGGCUUCCCGAUCUGAGCAAGGGCCAGUGCUCUGUGCUCUCUGGCGAAGAGGGCGGGGGGGGGGGCGAGGUGGCAGAGAAGUGGAGCCUGGAGAAAUCCCAAGCCAACCACACUGCCUCCCGCCAGCAUUCGACCAAAACAGCUCACCGGGAAGCAGCGGCGGUGCUCCCCGCCCUCCCACGCUCCGAGGGUCUUCUGCCCACUCAGGUGCCGCGCCUGGACAGGGUGGGCGUUUCAGGGGCGAAGGAAUGCGCGGGUGUGUGAGGACUUACCGAGCACUUGCCCCUGGCCAGGCCUUGCUCUGGCCACUCGGAUCUGCUCGUGAGAUGGAGCCGUGGGAGUGCCCGCACCAGUCAAGCCUCCAGCCCAGGGCAGCAGGCAACAAACAUCAUACCCGUGCAGAGGAUGCGGCAUACCAGAGGGUGGCAAGCAUCACAGGGAGAAACAGAGCCGGUCAGUGGGGUGAGGGUGGCCGUUUUAAAUAGGCUGCUCAGGGCAGGCCUUGUUGAGAAGGUGACACUUAGGCAAAAGCUUGGAGAGGGGAAGGAGGAGCAUCAUAGGCACUGGAAACAGCUAGAGCAAAGGCCCCGAGGCAGGAGGGGGUUGGCCUGCUGGGGAAACACCAUGAAAUGUGGGCGAGCAGGAGGGGUGGACAGACCACACUGACCAUGCCCACAUGGCUGACCCUGAGCUCAGGCCUCAGGUCAGAUGUUGCCUGCCGUGAGGCCUUCCUCCAUCACGCCCGCUAUGCCUCCGCCUUGCUCUGCUCUCUCAGUCAACCCAACACCCGGCAGGUUGUGUUUGUGUGCAUGGUCUGCCUUCCUAAGAAAUGAUGCAGGGCCGUGAGGCAGGAACUUUACCCCUGUGCUCACUGCUCUUUCCCCAGGACGGGGCGCAAAGGAGGCGCUCCAUGGGGUGUGCCAACUCUCAGAGCUGGAAGGAGGAAUUCGGUUGUUUGUUAAGCAUUGUCCUCUUCAGUGGCUUGAAGUGACUGAUAGUCCUGAGAGAGCACCUAGCACGCCAUGCAGUUCACGCGACAACCUUCCUACGUGCGAGGAGACCAGCGCCGUGUGAUAGGGGCUGACGGAGAGGCGGGAGUGGGUGAGGCCCUCUGCCGCCGUUCUCUCUCCCCUCUCCACUGGGGUGGUCUCCACGUCCAGGGCCAAGGCUUUCCGGCUGCCCGGGGUCUCUCCCAUCUUAGAGGGAGGGAUUUGACAAACACAUCAGGGGACGCAUGUACCCUAAUGGGCUCGUGAUCUGGGCUCUCCUUGCAGCUGUGCUUUCUUCUCUCUCUUGCUGCUUCCCCACUCCGCCUGAUGUGGCUCCUGAGCCCUUCCUCACUCCCUGUCUCCGAGGCCAGCCCCUCCCUGCCACGUCCUGGCCCUGCAGAGGACUGCCAAGUAUAGGGUUUCUUGAUUUUAGCAGGAAUUGGACAAAGGCUCCCGUAACGGUCUUUGUGGACACUGUAGAGGACUAAGUCGGAUGACAGUAUAUACGGUGGAGACCUUGUUGGUUGAACAGCCAAAAAGAGUGUUGAUUAUUGUCAUCGUAAAGAUAUACAACAGGGCUUUUUCAUUGACUUUGACAGUUUCAGUAUUUUAGUCUGUGGCUUGGAUAAAGACUCAAUGGCACAAAACUUAGAGGAAAAGAUAAUACGAAAAUCAGCAAGAUCCAAUAGCUAAAGACUGGAGGAGGAGAAACAAGCCAGACUGCCUGCUGGAUGACUCCUCAGGCUCCUCGGGCAGCCCAGCAGAAGCAGGCUGGAGCCGUGCUGGUGCGCACGCUCCUCUCCUAACUGGCACUGGGGAGUACGAUAUGUCUUAUGCCAACAAGGCUGUAAAGCUCAGCCCCACUUUAUCAUUAAUAUGCAAGGCAGUGGGCACCGGAGCCCUCUCCGGGAUCACACGCGCACACACAGGAGAUGCCAAGCCAUGUCCAGCCGAAGCAUGACUCUCUGAGGGAUGGCAAGGGUCUGGGAGGGUGGUGUCCACCCUGCCAGCCAUGUGGCUGAGCCCCUCUACUUUGCAUCUACAUUGUAUGUCACUUGUAGAGCUUAUCCUCUCCCCUUGUUCCACAGAUGAGUUAAAACGAUAAGAUUA
This is a long non-coding RNA of Equus caballus (horse), 3372 nucleotides long. The record is from Ensembl. Lineage: Eukaryota; Metazoa; Chordata; Mammalia; Perissodactyla; Equidae.